This 250-nucleotide ribosomal RNA is filed under the name uncultured bacterium. RNAcentral's name for it is "partial 16S ribosomal RNA". It matches the Rfam family "Bacterial small subunit ribosomal RNA", at positions 335 to 599 of the family's 1533-position model. The record is from RNAcentral.
AUUCCUACGGGAGGCAGCAGUGGGGAAUAUUGCACAAUGGGCGAAAGCCUGAUGCAGCAACGCCGCGUGAAGGAAGAAGGGUUUCGGCUCGGAAACUUCUUUCAACAGGGACGAAAGAAAUGACGGGACCUGAAUAAGAAGCCCCGGCUAACUACGAGCCAGGAGCCGCGGUAAUACGUAGGGGGCAAGCGUUAUCCGGAAUUACUGGGUGGAAAGGGUGAGUAGGCGGCAUGGUAAGCCAGAUGUGAAA